GAAGUUUUGAAAAUGAGAAAAAAAAAUCCUUUAGGAAAAAAACUCCCUUAUGAAGUGAUAGAAAUUAAUUUGAAAAGGUGUUUCAAAAUAUUCUGAAAGGUUUUAUCUACGUACAACUCUUCAAAUAAGUAACAGGUCUAAAGUGUCCCUUUUGUGCUGGAUCUGGAAUUUGGGAAAAUCCUUUAAUUCUUUUAAUGCUAAGGAUAUUAAAGUGAAGGGUUCUGAGGAUCUUCAGACUAUUUAUUUCACUAUUUGCUAUAGAUUUUGUCAUUCCUUCAUCAUUAAUUGCAUUUAAAUAAUCUGAGUUUCAUAUUUACGUUUUUCUGUAUUUAUUUUUACCAGGUUUUACAUUUUUGGUGAUUGCCUCCUGGGUUAGAAGAUUGCAUAGAUUACCUGUUCCAACUUUAGUCUACAUCCAAAUUAAUGUCACAUCUGUAACAAAAUAGUAUGUUCUCCUAUUGUCAAACACAGUAGGGCCAAGGUUGGCAAAUUAGUUAGUAUUAGCAUAUAGACCUUCUGGCAGGGAAGGAAAGCUUUCUAGUUGGAGCUGGGCAUUCAGCUCGGUUUGUCAACGCAAAGCUGCCACUGACCUCAUUAUCUCAUUUGUCUUAGUUAGACUAAAUUGGCAGUUAUGUCUUCAUUGCAAAUGUUUGUUUUUACAAAUGAGCAAUAGAGCAGUGAGUAGAAGACAUAACAUGAGGACUUUUUUCCUGAAAUUUAAUUGCAGAAUGCUAUAGCUGGUGACUGACUUCUCUGACUUUAAUCCCCAGGGAGUUUAGAAAGCUAUCCUUCCUUUGCCUGACUCAGGAAAUGUAGUGUAAAGUUAUGGAAAGUGAUGUUAUGAAACUAAUGUUAAAUGCAUUUCUCUUCUCUCUGUUUUGGAUUUUUUUUUUUACAUAGUGUCAACAUGUCUGCAAUGAAGUAUGUUGGAAGCCAUAACUAGAUCAACAAAAAAACAUUGGCACAGUCAUGACGAUUGUGUGUAUAUCGUAAAAUGCAUGCACAGCCUACAACAUACAGUUACCCUUUCCAAGCAGAGUAGCCUAACUAUAUUGCAGAAUCAGACUUUGGCUUGCAUAUUUCCACCGUGGAUCUGUUAGAUUUGUAGCUGCAAAGCUGGAAGAUCCAGAGGCCGGAAGGAUCCUACCCCAGGUUAGCCUUAAUGCCAGUUGACAAUAUACUGUUUUGAAGCUGAAAAGGUUCAACAUCCUGUGAAUGUUUAUUAUAAAUUUCUUACACAUUGCCAUGUUCUUCAUUGGCAUCCACAAAUGCCACAAAUUAUGAAAGACUCUAUCACAUUAAGGUGCAUUAGGUAUGCGAAAACAAUUUUUAAGUUCUUCAACAAGCAAAGAUAUCUGAUGAUUUUUUGAUGAAAAAAAUAAUAAUAAUAAUAAUAAUUGAGCUGAGG
Molecule: long non-coding RNA, 1408 nt
Filed under: Anser brachyrhynchus (Pink-footed goose)
Lineage: Eukaryota; Metazoa; Chordata; Aves; Anseriformes; Anatidae
Description: lncRNA (ENSABRG00000007766.1)
Source: RNAcentral